AUAAUUUUAGUUUAAUAUAAAAUUUUUUUUUUACAAAAAAAAGAUUAAUAAUUUUUAUUAAAAUUAUA
RNAcentral lists this transfer RNA (68 nucleotides) under Trichogramma chilonis. RNAcentral's name for it is "tRNA-Val". The record is from RNAcentral. RNAcentral also lists the same sequence under 2 other names. Lineage: Eukaryota; Metazoa; Arthropoda; Insecta; Hymenoptera; Trichogrammatidae.